GAUGAACGCUGGCGGCGUGCCUAAUACAUGCAAGUCGAGCGAACAGAUGAGGAGCUUGCUCCUCUGACGUUAGCGGCGGACGGGUGAGUAACACGUGGAUAACCUACCUAUAAGACUGGGAUAACUUCGUGAAACCGGAGCUAAUACCGGAUAAUAUAUUGAACCGCAUGGUUCAAUAGUGAAAGACGGUUUUGCUGUCACUUAUAGAUGGAUCCGCGCCGCAUUAGCUAGUUGGUAAGGUAACGGCUUACCAAGGCAACGAUGCGUAGCCGACCUGAGAGGGUGAUCGGCCACACGGGAACGGAGACACGGUCAAGACUCCUACGGGAGGCAGCAGUAGGGAAUCUUCCGCAAUGGGCGAAAGCCUGACGGAGCAACGCAGCGUGAGUGAUGAAGGUCUUCGGAUCGUAAAACUCUGUUAUUAGGGAAGAACAAAUGUGUAAGUAACUAUGCACGUCUUGACGGUACCUAAUCAGAAAGCCACGGCUAACUACGUG
Molecule: ribosomal RNA, 497 nt
Filed under: uncultured bacterium
Lineage: Bacteria
Description: partial 16S ribosomal RNA
Rfam family: Bacterial small subunit ribosomal RNA
Source: RNAcentral